RNAcentral lists this ribosomal RNA (451 nucleotides) under Gonaxis sp. 'Rungwe'. RNAcentral describes it as "partial 16S ribosomal RNA". It matches the Rfam family "Bacterial large subunit ribosomal RNA", at positions 1817 to 2597 of the family's 2925-position model. The record is from RNAcentral. Lineage: Eukaryota; Metazoa; Mollusca; Gastropoda; Stylommatophora; Streptaxidae.
AGNUNUANGCUAAUUUAAAUAUAAGAUGUAUUCUGCCCAGCGGACAUGUCUCAACGGCCGCAGUACCUUGACUGUGCUAAGGUAGCGGGGAAAAUUGCCCUUUAAUUUGGGGCUAGAAUGAAUGGGAUAAUGGGGGGAAGCUGUCUUUUAUAUACUAUGAUGAAAUUAUUUGAGUAGGUGAAAAUCCCUACAAGCUAUGAUAAUAGACGAGAAGACCCUAAGAAUUUUGAUAAACUUUAACUUAUAUUAAUUUAAUUUUUGUUGGGGUGACAUAUUAACAAUUACUUAACUUAAUAAAGGCUAAUACAGACCGAAUAAAUAUUAUAUAUGGAAAAAUUACCUUAGGGAUAACAGCAUAAUUUUAUAUAAAGAUUGUGACCUCGAUGUUGGACUAGGAACUUUAUAAUUAGAAAUUAUAGAAGAAAGUUCUGUUCGAACUAUAUAAUCUCCU